This 1000-nucleotide ribosomal RNA is filed under the name uncultured organism. RNAcentral describes it as "bacterial SSU rRNA". It matches the Rfam family "Bacterial small subunit ribosomal RNA", at positions 355 to 1375 of the family's 1533-position model. The record is from RNAcentral.
UGGGGGAUAUUGCGCAAUGGGGGCAACCCUGACGCAGCAACGCCGCGUGAAGGAUGAAGGUUUUCGGAUUGUAAACUUCUUUUAUUAAGGACGAAAAAUGACGGUACUUAAUGAAUAAGCUCCGGCUAACUACGUGCCAGCAGCCGCGGUAAUACGUAGGGAGCAAGCGUUGUCCGGAUUUACUGGGCGUAAAGGGUGCGUAGGCGGCUUUGCAAGUCAGAUGUGAAAUCUAUGGGCUCAACCCAUAAACUGCAUUUGAAACUGUAGAGCUUGAGUGAAGUAGAGGCAGGCGGAAUUCCCCGUGUAGCGGUGAAAUGCGUAGAGAUGGGGAGGAACACCAGUGGCGAAGGCGGCCUGCUGGGCUUUAACUGACGCUGAGGCACGAAAGCGUGGGUAGCAAACAGGAUUAGAUACCCUGGUAGUCCACGCUGUAAACGAUGAUUACUAGGUGUGGGGGGUCUGACCCCUUCCGUGCCGGAGUUAACACAAUAAGUAAUCCACCUGGGGAGUACGGCCGCAAGGUUGAAACUCAAAGGAAUUGACGGGGGCCCGCACAAGCAGUGGAGUAUGUGGUUUAAUUCGAAGCAACGCGAAGAACCUUACCAGGUCUUGACAUCCAACUAACGAAGUAGAGAUACAUUAGGUGCCCUUCGGGGAAAGUUGAGACAGGUGGUGCAUGGUUGUCGUCAGCUCGUGUCGUGAGAUGUUGGGUUAAGUCCCGCAACGAGCGCAACCCUUGCUAUUAGUUGCUACGCAAGAGCACUCUAAUAGGACUGCCGUUGACAAAACGGAGGAAGGUGGGGACGACGUCAAAUCAUCAUGCCCCUUAUGACCUGGGCUACACACGUACUACAAUGGAUGUUAACAGAGGGAAGCAAGACAGCGAUGUGGAGCAAACCCCUAAAAACAUUCUCAGUUCAGAUUGCAGGCUGCAACCCGCCUGCAUGAAGAUGGAAUUGCUAGUAAUCGCGGAUCAGCAUGCCGCGGUGAAUACGUUCCC